GACGAGCCUCACGAACGUUAUUCGGAAUUACUGGGCUUAAAGGGUGCGUAGGCGGCCCGUUAAGUCAGUGGUGAAAUCCCAGGGCUCAACCCUGGAACUGCCAUUGAUACUGACGGGCUUGAGUUCGGUUAAGGCGGGCGGAACUGGUGGUGUAGCGGUGAAAUGCAUAGAUACCACCAAGAACCCCGAUUGCGUAGGCAGCUCGCUGAGCCGAAACUGACGCUGAGGCACGAAAGCGUGGGGAGCGAACAGG
RNAcentral lists this ribosomal RNA (253 nucleotides) under uncultured bacterium. RNAcentral's name for it is "partial 16S ribosomal RNA". It matches the Rfam family "Bacterial small subunit ribosomal RNA", at positions 524 to 776 of the family's 1533-position model. The record is from RNAcentral.